CUGCAACUCGCCUGCAUGAAGUCGGAAUUGCUAGUAAUCGCGGAUCAGCAUGCCGCGGUGAAUACGUUCCCGGGUCUUGUACACACCGCCCGUCACACCAUGGGAGUUGGGGAUACCCGAAGCCUGUGAGCUAACUUUUAGAGGCAGCAGUCGAAGGUAGAAUCAAUGAUUGGGGUGAAGUCGUAACAAGGUAGC
Molecule: ribosomal RNA, 195 nt
Filed under: uncultured bacterium
Lineage: Bacteria
Description: partial 16S ribosomal RNA
Rfam family: Bacterial small subunit ribosomal RNA
Source: RNAcentral